Molecule: non-coding RNA, 29 nt
Filed under: Mus musculus (house mouse)
Lineage: Eukaryota; Metazoa; Chordata; Mammalia; Rodentia; Muridae
Source: RNAcentral
UAUCACUAUUUGUGUGACUGAGGUACCUA